UUGUGCUUGCUUGUCUUGCGCUCUCACUGCUCUGACGGAUGCUUUUAUUAGACCAAACCGCUGAGGACUUGAGGGUUCGCUCUCUAGUUCGACUCGUAUAAUGGUGACUCUGGAUAACCUUGACGAGCGCACGUACUCCUCUUCUGAGCGAGACGGCGCUGCCACUUUCGAGUGUCUGCCUUAUCAGCUAUCAACCGUUCGUUAUGCGCGACCGAUGGCUUUGACGGGUAACGGGGAAUCAGGGUUCGAUUCCGGAGAGGCAGCCUGAGAGACGGCUACCACGUCCAAGGACGGCAGCAGGCACGCAAAUUACCCAAUCCCAGCAAAUGGGGGAGGUAGUGACGAAAUCUAACGAUGCGGGCGCCCUUUCUGGGGCCCCGCAAUCGGAAUGGGCACUUUCUAAACAACCUGUUGAGAACCUACUGAAGGGCAAGUCUGGUGCCAGCAGCCGCGGUAAUUCCAGCUUCAGCAGCAUCUAUUAAAGUUGCUGCGGUUAAAAGGCUCGCAGUUGAAUGUCUGUAUCGAGCGCAGGUCAGGUGGACGUUGGGGCGUGGAAGUACGGGCAGUUGGAUGUUCGGAGGGCAUUCGUGCUCGAUGGCUCCUUCGGCUUUUCCACACACCCCCGUCCGUGACAAGCCUCCUCGCUCGGGUACAUAACGGGAAUCGGUCAAACGGAGUGUGGUCGGGAGUUGAGGUGCGUGGUUUCGGCUGCGUGCUCCUUCUUUCGGCUGCGUUAAGCUCCAUCGGUUUCACGGUCACCUUGAGUAAAUCAGAGUGCUCAAAGCAGUCGUAGGGGCCUUGCGCCCUGUGAACAGUCUUGACGGACUGACUUGGUUUUGCAUGGCAUGUCGGAAGACGACGUCGUGUGCUGGCUCAGAGGAUAAAUCAGUGGUACAAGCCAGCCUCGACGUAAUGAUUAAAAGGGACGGUCGAGGGCAUUGGUAUUGCGAGGCGAGAGGUGAAAUUCUGUGACCCCGCAAGACCUCCUGAAGCGAAAGCGUCUGCCAAGGACGUUUUCAUUAAUCAUGAACGAAAGUUAGAGGAUCGAAGGCGAUCAGAUACCGCCCUAGUUCUAACCCUAAACGAUGCCAACCAUCAAUCCGCGCGUAGCACCCUUCUUAACGGGCUCGGCGGGCAGCUCCCCACUCACGGGAAACCAGAGCCUCUGGGUUCCGGGGGGAGUCUGGUUGCAAAGCUGAAACUUAAAGGAAUUGACGGAAAGGCACCACCAGGCGUGGAGCCUGCGGCUUAAUUUGACUCAACACGGGCCAUCUCACCAGGCCAGCACUCUUGUACGAUUGACAGAUUGAGAGCUCUUUCUCGAUUCAGUGGAUGGUGGUGCAUGGCCGUUCUUAGUUGGUGGAGUGAUCUGUCUGGUUAAUUCCGAUAACGAACGAGACUCUCCCCUGCUAACUAGUCGGUUGGAUCUUGAUCAGCGGGUUGCGUGCCGAGUAACUCUCGCUGCGCGUGUGGUGCGUCGCUGGCUCUCGGGCUGGUUGCGUGUCCGCGCGUGUGGCGUUGGAUGCCUUGGAUCACACUGCACCCCAAGUCCGCCGCUUAUGCUAUAACUCUUCUUAGAGGGAUUCACGGCACUGAAGCCGUAAGAGACUGAGAGCAAUAACAGGUCUGUGAUGCCCUUAGAUGCUCUGGGCCGCACGCGCGCUACAAUGCCGGGCACAGCAGGUGUUUCUCCUGCUCCGACAGGAGCGGGUAACCCUCUGAAAGCCAGUGUUCUUGCAAGUGCUUCCUCCCUCGUGGAGUUGCACAGAGGCGUGCUUGGGCCUGGGACUUGCAAUUCUU
This 1800-nucleotide ribosomal RNA is filed under the name Gammarus cf. fossarum E DCC-2015. RNAcentral's name for it is "bacterial SSU rRNA". It matches the Rfam family "Eukaryotic small subunit ribosomal RNA", at positions 184 to 1594 of the family's 1831-position model. The record is from RNAcentral. Lineage: Eukaryota; Metazoa; Arthropoda; Malacostraca; Amphipoda; Gammaridae.